RNAcentral lists this ribosomal RNA (16 nucleotides) under Neocamarosporium lamiacearum. RNAcentral describes it as "partial 28S ribosomal RNA". Lineage: Eukaryota; Fungi; Ascomycota; Dothideomycetes; Neocamarosporiaceae. The record is from RNAcentral.
CUGACCUCGGAUCAGG